AGACAGUAUCUGUGAAUGGAAGGUUAAGGCACAGCCAUCCAUCUUCUGACGCCCAGGAAGGUGGCUACACGUUUCGCUGCCAUACUGCACUUCCCUGAUUCCACUUCACAGAGCAGCCUCACCCCAGCAGAGAAUGAAUUAUCAAGUGUGCAGGACCAGUGAUGCAGGUGGUAACAAGAAUUUACCCAGGCCAGGAAAAGAGUAAAGAUAAGGGUUUACUCAGCCCAGAGUCCACUGCCUAGGGGGGCACCAGUUUCUUACAGCUGAUAGGAUCUGGAACAAUGCAAACCCUGAGGAGAGUGGAGUCACCUGAGAACUAAGUGGGCACAUGAGACCUCUGGUUGCCCUGUUUUCACAGUAUCCUCUUCAUCUUCCCUUCACCUUCAAGGAGUUUCAGAAAUAGCUGUUUCUCAGCAUGGUACUGGCAAAGAAACAGACCUGAGGACCAGUGGAACAGAUUAGAAGAUGCAGAAACAACUCCAGACACACUCAGCCAUCUCAUCUUUGAUAAAGGAGCCAAACACCCUCACUGGAGGAAAG
Long non-coding RNA from Heterocephalus glaber (naked mole-rat), 540 nucleotides. The record is from Ensembl. Lineage: Eukaryota; Metazoa; Chordata; Mammalia; Rodentia; Bathyergidae.